GACAGAGGGUGCAAGCGUUGUUCGGAAUUAUUGGGCGUAAAGGGCGCGUAGGCGGCCUUGUAAGUCAGAUGUGAAAUCCCAGGGCUUAACCCUGGAAGUGCAUCUGAUACUGCAUGGCUUGAGUCCUGGAGAGGGUGGUGGAAUUCCCAGUGUAGAGGUGAAAUUCGUAGAUAUUGGGAGGAACACCGGUGGCGAAGGCGACCACCUGGACAGAGACUGACGCUGAGGCGCGAAAGCGUGGGGAGCAAACAGG
RNAcentral lists this ribosomal RNA (253 nucleotides) under uncultured bacterium. RNAcentral's name for it is "partial 16S ribosomal RNA". It matches the Rfam family "Bacterial small subunit ribosomal RNA", at positions 524 to 776 of the family's 1533-position model. The record is from RNAcentral.